This is a non-coding RNA of Vicia faba (fava bean), 246 nucleotides long. The record is from the annotation of a GenBank genome assembly. Lineage: Eukaryota; Viridiplantae; Streptophyta; Magnoliopsida; Fabales; Fabaceae.
AUGUGGCCGGUUCGUGAUGCCGAUCGGGGCGGCGCGACGGCCGGCCGAUUUGCAGGUGUGGUGGCGAAUGCAUGUCGUCACGGAGGUUCGAGAGGCUUUGCAUCUAUUGGCUUUCGUCAGUGCUUUCCAUCGCUUUGUUUUGAAUUUGGGAUGGUUGGCUUUGCAUUGGGUUUUAUGUGUAUCGAUACAUCAAGAUUAUUCAUUAGGGUGAUGACACAACUGCAUCCAUCUCACCAUCUAGCCUAG